Molecule: long non-coding RNA, 1854 nt
Filed under: Olea europaea subsp. europaea
Lineage: Eukaryota; Viridiplantae; Streptophyta; Magnoliopsida; Lamiales; Oleaceae
Source: RNAcentral
AUGGAAUCACCAAAUUCAUCAUUUCGCCACAUUUUCUUUCAUUUUCGUUUCGGAUAGGAAAACAUUUUCCUGGGGAAAAGGAAAACAGAACUUUUUCCUCCAAAAAUAUCCUCUGAUCCUGAAGAUAAAGCUCCGUCUUCUCUUCUCCCAAAUCAGUGCAACCUCUACCUAAUCCGCAGCAACCGCCACACUGCGCGGCGGCGUUUAUGAUGGAUUUGGAUCUUGAUCUCGAAUCUUCCUGGUCGAUGGACCAGAUCUUUGCAAAUCCUAUGUCGCCGUUUCUGCUUUCGAAUUCGGAUCAGCCGUGUUCGCCUAUAUGGGCUUAUACAGAUGAGAAUAACGAUUGUAAAUCGACUGGAAAUUACGUCGCCGGGGGAGGUUUCCGCCUCUCCAACUGCUCCAGGCCUAUGUCAUGUAUGACUCUGCUUGCUCUGAGCUUGUUAUUUGACUUUUUUUUUAGGCGUGUGUUGAAUUGUUAGUGAUUAAAUCAAAAACCUGUUUUGUACUCUAUGCACUUUAUUUUGGGUUUUUUUGAUUAAAAAAGUUGGAAAGUUUUGAGAUUCUAUAGUUUCUACCACUGAGAUUUUUUUGGGUGAUUUUGACUUUCUUCUUCUUUUAUGAACAUGUAAACUAGCCCUUAUUUUUGGUUGAGUUUAGCUUUAUAUAUACAUAUGAAAACGUUCGUUAUUGGAAGGAGCUUUAUAUGGAUGUCCAGAUACAGUAUAGAAAUGACGAAGAAGAAUUCAUAUCAAAGCAGCUGAUAUAACUUUACUUAAGAGUUAUGCUUUUAAAUAAGUGUCAACUCAAAUCCUAACUUUUGGGAUAUAGAAAGGAUGGAAAAUCAAGGUAGAUGUAAUGAUUAUAUUUGUCGUCUGCUAUUUUUAAAUGCCAAACUAUCUAAAAUUUGAAAAGUUAGUUUGUUUUCUGUUGUUCUAUGAUUUUCUUGAAGUACUACUUGCAAUCAAUGGUACAUUUUACCAGAAGUAUCAGCAGGAAACUCAUUUUAUUUGCUUUUGUUUCGUGAAUUUUGAGCAGAUGCGGUUGAUCCUGAGUCAAUGACUGAAAAUGCAGUGGAAAAUGAUGAUAAAGAAAAACUGCCUUCACAACUUCUGGGAUUGAGAUCAAUUGCUAAUCCAGAUGAGUCUUAUAUAAUCAAGGAGCGGAUGUCACAGGCUCUUCGAUACUUUAAAGAUUUGACUGGAGAGCAUGUCUUGGCUCAAGUUUGGGCACCAGUUAAGAAUGGUGGUCGGUAUGUGCUGACUACUUCGGGGCAGCCCUUUGUUCUUGACCCUAACAGUAAUGGACUUCAUCAGUAUAGGCUAGUCUCUCUGAUGUAUAUGUUUUCUGUGGAUGGAGUGACUGAGGGAGCCCUUGGACUUCCUGGUCGUGUAUUUCGGCAAAAGUUACCUGAAUGGACACCUAACGUGCAGUACUAUUCUAGCAAGGAAUUUCCACGGCUGGACCAUGCUCUGAAUUAUAACGUUCGCGGAACUUUGGCUUUGCCUGUAUUUGAACCUUCUGGACAGUCCUGUGUUGGUGUACUUGAGCUCAUAAUGACUUCCCAGAAAAUUAAUUAUGCUCCUGAGGUUGAUAAAGUAUGCAAAGCACUUGAGGUUGGUUAAGCAUUCUCUUCAUAAUACAUCAUUAUUUCAAGAUCUUGCAUUUUUUGGUAGGAACUGUUAAAGAUUCCUUGAUAAAAAUUGCAGCAAGGAUUAGUGACUGUCUGAUUGUAGCAAUCAUAAUAACUGCGUUCUUUUAUGUGUGAGAAGCUUCUAAAAUUUUUAUCCCUAGGAAUUAUUUCCAGAAUUGGAUAUAGGAGAAUGGCACUUCUUUCUGAAAUAUGGCCUCUAGCAG